Molecule: ribosomal RNA, 442 nt
Filed under: uncultured bacterium
Lineage: Bacteria
Description: partial 16S ribosomal RNA
Rfam family: Bacterial small subunit ribosomal RNA
Source: RNAcentral
CCUACGGGGGACAGCAGUGGGGAAUAUUGGUCAAUGGGCGCAAGCCUGACCCAGCAACGCCGCGUGAAGGAAGACGGCUUUCGGGUUGUUAACUUCUUUUGGCAGGGAAGAGUAGAAGACGGUACCUGACGAAUACGCCACGGCUAACUACGUGCCAGCAGCCGCGGUAAUACGUAGGUGGCAAGCGUUGUCCGGAUUUACUGGGUGUAAAGGGCGUGUAGCCGGGUUGACAAGUCAGAUGUGAAAUCCUGCGGCUUAACCGCAGAACUGCAUUUGAAACUGUUGAUCUUGAGUACUGGAGAGGCAGACGGAAUUCCUGGUGUAGCGGUGAAAUGCGUAGAUAUUAGGAGGAACACCAGUGGCGAAGGCAGUCUGCUGGACAGCAACUGACGGUGAGGCGCGAAAGCGUGGGGAGCAAACAGGAUUAGAUACCCCGGUAGUC